CCGAUGCGGGGCUCGGUCCCAGGACCCUGGGAUCAUGACCUGAGCAGAAGGCAGACACUUAACUACUGAGCCACCCAGGUGUGGGGCAUUCUUGUUGAGCAUAUAUUCCCUCUCCUUCCUCUUCCCAUGAAAGGAGUAGACUUUUCCACACCAGUAGAGGGCUUAGCCAUGUAACCUGUUUGGCCAGUGAAAUGUGAAUAUCCGAGCAGAGGUAUGCUGUUAUAGUGUGGGUUCUGUGUUCUCUCCCUUUCCCACAGGAAGGACAUGCUCCAGCCUCCUACUGCUCCUUCAUCCUGGGUCCUAAAAUAGAAAGACAUGAGACAGCCCUGAACCCAACUGGAUGCAAUGCUGCUAAAAUGCUGACCUACAGACCCGCAGGCAAGGAUACAGGAGAACUUGAAUGGCUCCACCCUAUUCCUAUGAGGCUUGUGCACACGGUAUGAGCUGUGCCCAUCAGAUUCUCUCCCUGGACCUUAACCUCAACUGAAAAGACACAAAAGACAAGGAAAGCCUGGCCUCUGAGAUGCGCCCCUGGUGAGCUCCAACCUAUGAGAACUAGCAUCGGUUCAUGGCGCCUGGUCAUUGGCCUGACUACUGCUUUCUAGAGUUGAGGGAAUGAGUAAAGCCGAGAGAGAACUGCAGAUGCUGGCUUCUGGGAAACCAGCCUGAUGACCUGAAACUGGAGAAGUUCCCCAGACGGUGUGAGGGGGAUUGUCCUCCUGACCCCUCACCUCCCCACAGCCCUGGGUCACCUUCCUCUGUUUACUGAGAACACGCCUGUGAGAAAACCCGGGCCUGCCUGGGCUGGUGAGCAGUGUAUGAGAGAAUUUGAACUUUAUCCAUCUUGACAUUUCUGCCUUGGUAUGUGUGACUGUUCUUACACAUAUGGAUUGGAUCAAAUGAGAUAAUUUAUGCAAAAGCACUUUGCAAUUUUUCAAGGGCUAUCCACGCAAGGUAUUGCUUGUUGCUAUUAUUACCAUCCCACAGGAAAGGGUUUCCUCUUUAACAUACCCAUGUAUUUGAUUAAAAUUAGGUGGUAAAUUGGCAAACCCAUAAAGUGCUUUCUUGUGUCGUCUGUCACCUGUACCUAUGGUGACCAUAUGGCCUGCGUUUUCCAGGAUGGCCCAGAUUCCACGUCAUUUUAUUCUUUUUUUUUUUUUUUUAAAGAUUUUAUUUAUUUAUUUGAGAGAAAGAGUGAGAGAGAGAAAGAGCACAAGAGGGGGGAGCGGGAGAGGGAGAAGCAGACUCCCCGCCGAGCAGGGAGCCCGAUGCGGGACUCGAUCCCGGGACUCCAGGAUC
Molecule: long non-coding RNA, 1299 nt
Organism: Mirounga angustirostris (Northern elephant seal)
Lineage: Eukaryota; Metazoa; Chordata; Mammalia; Carnivora; Phocidae
Exons: 3
Source: RefSeq, a predicted model, not a curated record